GACAUGGCUCAGCAGCUAAGAAUGUUUGUUGCUCUUGCAGAGGGUCCAGGCUUGGUUCCCAGCAUCCAUGAAGCAACUCACAGCUGCCUGCUAGUCCAGUUGUAGGGAGUCUGACAUUCAUUCUCUUCUGGUCUCCACAGACACCUACAUGCAUUAUGUGCACAUACAUACAUUGGAGAAUACAUACAGUAAAUAAGUAUUAAAAAAAACUUACACUUAAAGCCAAAAAAUAAAUAAAAGAGUUAAGUGAGGACAAAUUACUGUAUUUAGUCAGGUGUGUUGUACCACUUCACAUUUGAUGUUUGUGCAGUAUUGUAAAUACCAGUCCUUUCCUUCCCCCUUCACUCCGUUCAAGACAAGGUCUCAUGGAGCACACUCAGGCUACCCUUGAACUUGCUUCAUAACCUAGUCAGCCUUGAACUGCUGGUCCUCUCACUGAAGCUCUAUUCUUAGUUUUUAAUUUUAUAAUGUGGAAAUUGCUUUGGGGGCCUGGGGAGAUAGAUCAGUCUGUCAAGUGCUUGUCAUACAAUCACAGACACUGAGUUUAAAUCCCAGCAUCCAGUUAAAAACUCAGUUGUUGCUUGUCAUUCCAGCAUGUUUGUAAUCCUCUCUUGGGAGGCAGGGACUGAUGAAUCCCUGGGGCUCCCUAACCAGUUGUCAUAGCCUAAUUGUUGAACCUUACCACUUAGAGAAGUUGUUUUAAAAACCCAAGGUGGAGCUGGGUGGUAGUGCAUGCCUUUGGGAGGCAGAGUCAGGCAGAUCUCUGAAUUCAAGGCUAACCUGGUCUACAGAGUAAGUUCCUGGAUAGACAGGGCUACACAGAAAAACUGUCUAGAAAAACAAAAAAAAAUUAAAGAUAAUCAAACAUUUUCCUUUUUUGUGAAUCUGUGUAUGAUGAAUACUCUCACAAUAAUGAUGGUGAACAUAGGGAACUCAGGACAGCUUGUGGAAGGUCUUUCCUUCUUCCAUGUGGGUUGUGGAAACUGAACUAGUAGGUUCAAUUAAUUAGCCCAGGUUGAAAUUCUUUCUUUCUUUUUUUGGACUUGCUAAUUCUGAUACCUCUGCCUCACUUGUGCUAUUAUGUUGGCUGAACUUAAAGCUUUAUAAAAGCCGACCCAGGAGGUGGAGGCAAAGGGUCAGGAAUCGGUGUCAUCCUUGGCUGCAUAGAAAAUUCUAGGCUACCCAAUCACCCAACUCAAAAAUAAACAAAUGGGCCGGGCAGUGGAGGCACACACCUUUAAUCCCAGCACUUGGAAGGCAGAGACAGGCGGAUUUCUCAGCCUGGUCUACAUAGUGAAUUCCAGGAUGACCAGGGCUCCGCAGAGGAAAAAAACCCUGUCUCGAAAAACCAAAAAAAAAAAAAAAAAAAAAAAAAGAAAGAAAGAAAGAAAGAAAAUAAACAAAUGGACUGGAGAGGUGGCUCUGCAGUUAAGAGCACUUAAUGCUUUUGUGGAAGACCCAGGAUUAUUGAUAACCACUACUCUUGUAGAGGCUUAAAACUAUCUAUAACUUCAUUUGCAGAGGAUCCUGUGCCCUCUUUGGAGCUCAUCCUUGGGUACCAGGCAUGCUUGUAAUCCUAGCACUUUGUAGGUGCAAGAGGCCAGUUUCUACUAGAUAGCAGAAUUCAAAGCUAACCCAAGUUAUCCAACAUCUCAAACAACAGAUACAUGGCUAGAAUUAAGCUUCAGGAACUUAAUUGAUUCUCAUAGCUAUAUUACGGUGUGUGUGUGUGUGUGUGUGUGUGUGUGUGUGUGUGUAUCUUUGGAGGUCAGAAGAUUGUUAGGAUCCCUUGAAGUUAGGGAAUGUCUGAGCUUCGGUGUGGGUGCUGGGAACUGAACCUGAGUCCUUUGCAAGGACAACUGCUCUUAAUUUCUGCAUCACUUCUCCAGCCCUUCUUUGCAAUAGAUAGCUUUGGCAUGUAGUUUUGAGAUGUGUGAACAGAUGAACAGAGGUUAUGGAAUCUUCCUCCUUUCUUGGUGACCGAUAACCAUACCCUCUCUCACUCUCGCCCCCUCCCCCCAGGGUAUCUCUGUGUAGCCCUGGUGGCUGUCUUGGAACUCACUCUAGACCAGGAUGGCCUCAGAUUCAGAGAUCUACAUGUCUCUGCCUUACUGAGGGCUGUGUUACAUUUUUCUUAAUGAUUCUGACUUACCUUCAUUUCACAAUGCUGCCAAUAUUUUUCUUAGCCUGUUUUAGUAUUUUUUCUUGUCAUAUCACAAGUGACAUAAAUAACGAUCUUCCAAUUUUCUUUCCUUCAUCUGAAGACCUAGAAUUAAAUGUUGGUUAUUAGUGAUAGUGUUUAUUUAUUUUACUUUUGUAUGUCUUAGUAUACAGAUGAGGAAAUUAUUUGGCAGCUAUUUGAGGGUAGCUGCCAGCAAGUCAAGAUUAGC
This 2390-nucleotide long non-coding RNA is filed under the name Mus musculus (house mouse). RNAcentral describes it as "long non-coding RNA chr11:75743018-75745408". The record is from RNAcentral. Lineage: Eukaryota; Metazoa; Chordata; Mammalia; Rodentia; Muridae.